This is a long non-coding RNA of Haliaeetus leucocephalus (bald eagle), 563 nucleotides long. RefSeq lists it as uncharacterized. Lineage: Eukaryota; Metazoa; Chordata; Aves; Accipitriformes; Accipitridae. The transcript is spliced from 3 exons. The record is from RefSeq and is a predicted model, not a curated record.
UGGAGGAGUUUUGCGUAAUUCCAGUGGCAGUUUACCCCUGUUAUCGUAGCAGAGCCGAGUGCGGGAAAGCAAGUUAUACUCUACCAAACUUUAUUCCACCGUGUACUAAAUAGAGGAGCAAAUUUUGUGGCGUGACUUCGAUGUGCAUGCACAUCGUGCCACGGAGAGCUUUGUACUCCCGUGCAGCUCUCCAAAGACAGUAGCGAGCCAUGCAGAAACACUGUGAGCUAAAAUCAAGUGUGAAAAUCCUGACCAGAUAGAGCCAGUGAAAAAGCUUAGUGAAGGGGAGCAGACGAGGCACUUCCUUAACUUCUUCCUGCAAACGAGCUGAUCGAUUGGGCAGGGGGCACUGGAAUCCGUAAAAACGUGAAACUGGCAGCUUUGCAAAAGGAAGUUUCCUGAAAUCACCGUUUAGGGAGAACUAGUAUUUCCUUGGAUUGUUGCCUGUAGUACAUCGUUUGAGCAUGAGGACUAUUCUGUUUGCCUGAUCCAUUGCCCGGUGUCCCACGGCUGUGCUGUAACGGCCCCCCCGGCAGCAAGCCUUGCUGGACCCCGCACCCCAG